AACGACUCUCGACAACGGAUAUCUCGGCUCUCGCAUCGAUGAAGAACGUAGCGAAAUGCGAUACUUGGUGUGAAUUGCAGAAUCCCGUGAACCAUCGAGUCUUUGAACGCAAGUUGCGCCCGAAGCCACUAGGCCGAGGGCACGCCUGCCUGGGUGUCACGCA
RNAcentral lists this ribosomal RNA (163 nucleotides) under Arracacia longipedunculata. RNAcentral's name for it is "5.8S ribosomal RNA". It matches the Rfam family "5.8S ribosomal RNA". Rfam says of the family: 5.8S ribosomal RNA (5.8S rRNA) is a component of the large subunit of the eukaryotic ribosome. It is transcribed by RNA polymerase I as part of the 45S precursor that also contains 18S and 28S rRNA. The record is from RNAcentral. RNAcentral also lists the same sequence under 6 other names. Lineage: Eukaryota; Viridiplantae; Streptophyta; Magnoliopsida; Apiales; Apiaceae.